Molecule: long non-coding RNA, 1705 nt
Filed under: Mus musculus (house mouse)
Lineage: Eukaryota; Metazoa; Chordata; Mammalia; Rodentia; Muridae
Description: long non-coding RNA chr13:98732985-98734690
Source: RNAcentral
UCCGUUUCUUCCAUUGAAACUCAUGUUCAUAAGGUACUGUUUAGAUCCCCCGCAGACCAUCCUCAGCGGUCCCUGGCUCACUGCCCCUCUCUUUGCACCACUAUUCCAGCAUAAUUUUUUGUAAAGCUAACUAUCCAUCCAGAUGACCCUUUCAAUGUCCGUCAUCACCUAGCUUUUCAGUGUCUUUCUUACAGUGGCUCUGUCCUUGAGCUCACUCAGCCAGGCCACAGUCCCUUCAUAGUUUCACAAUCCUCACUCAUCUACUCAGAUUCCUAAUUUGUCUAACUCGUCCAAUCUAUUAUCAACCUACUUCCUCACCAUCCUACCCCAUUUCCAUUAGCCUUUUAAACAUCACACCCUUACACACCAUCUGUGAAUCUCCAGGUUCCUCACUAGACACCCUCCUUUGUAUAACUCUCCUUACACCUUCACUAAGACUUAGCUCAACAGCCUUGGCUAAAUUAGCUUCCUCCCCACAUUGGCACAGCUGACUGUGAAUGAGAAACGUCCACAUGGCCACACCUCUCCCAUCUGCUCCCUGAGCGUGAUAUGGUAAUCUGCCCCUGUCUAGUCACUCACGGUUCUACCACCUCAGGGCCUCUAACCUCAGGGCCUCUAUUUCUCCUCAAGUCUACACUUACUCAGUGAGCUCCAGAAUCAUGUGUGAAGCUACCAACUUGUCCACAUUAAUAGCACUCAACAAGUACUUCAAACCACAUUCUAAUCUCAACAAAUCUUCAUAACCACUUAUAACUUUUCCUGCUAAUAUUCAAGUCACCACCAUCUCUUAUCUGGGUUUCUGCGGCUAAUCUUAUUUUUCUUGAGUUUAAUUCUCCAAAGAACAGCCAGAAUAUUACAAAACCACAAAUAACUUCAUGACCUCUCAACUCAAGAGUGUCCACUUGCCAUGUUGCCUUACUACAGUUGAAUUCCCAAUUCCUUACCAUGACCUACAACAGCCGAUCUGGCCUGGGCCCUCUCUGGAUGCAUCCUCAACCUUUUCCUAUGCAGUGACCUACCUCCCUUCACCGUCUCCUGAGUUUUCCAAGCAUGCCUUUACCCAAGAUCCUCUCCCAAGAGUGAAUGGUUUGCUCCACUGUAUUUUUCAAAUAGCUGCUUAAAAUCUCCAAAAGCUUUUUUCCCUACUGUAAUUUUCCACCUUCAUACGCCCCUCUUAGUAACAUGUAUCAAUGCAUACUCUAUCUGCUUCUCCGAUGUUUUCUUUACUAUAAUGCAAGCUCAGGAGACCUCUGUUUUCUGAAGUAGCUUUAGUACUUAUCAAGAGACUUACUAGUGUAAUAGUGCACACCUGUAAUACCAAGCAGUUGGAAGGCAGAGGCAAGUGGAUCUCUGACUUCCAGGCCAGCCAGGGGCACACAGAAAGACCCUGUCUCGUGAAUAACCAAAACAAACGAAGGAAGGAAGAAACGAGGAAGGGAGGGAGGGAGAAAAAAAAGGUCUUACACAUAGUGAGCGCUCAAGUACUUUGUGAAUGAAUAUAUGCUGAAUACUUUAGUGAGACAGUAGGAAUGGAGGCUGGAAAUAGCUUGGAAAAUAAAGAGUGCUUGCUGCUCUUAUAGUGGACCCAAGUCCAGCUCCUAGCAGCCACAUCAAGCAGUUCAUUCCAGUUCCAGGGACUCCAAUGCCCUCUUCCAGCCUUUGUGGGUAACAUACGUGUAUUCAGGGGAGCAUAUACACAUCAAAC